Molecule: long non-coding RNA, 550 nt
Organism: Dreissena polymorpha
Lineage: Eukaryota; Metazoa; Mollusca; Bivalvia; Myida; Dreissenidae
Exons: 3
Source: RefSeq, a predicted model, not a curated record
UAAAAACAAAAUCUUCAUUUAUUUGAAGACACAAUUCUCUGUACGGGCACUUGCCAUGACUUUAUUUUUGAAUAUUUCUGUGUUCAUGUGGUAGGGAAAACAUUGUUGUAUACUACAAAUUCCCUGUUUUGCUUUUAGGUUGGAGACUACAUAAGACUUUGACAGUUGGCGGGAAACCAUCAUCAACUGGAGAGAUGCCGGAAGAGGAAUGUCUGCGACUAAGUCAAGGGCCACUGGAUAAGGGUUGUUGAUGGCAAAACAGGUUGGAGACUACAUAAGACUUUGACAGUUGGCGGGAAACCAUCAUCAACUGGAGAGAUGCCGGUAAAAAGAUGGCCAUAAAACAGUGACCGCUGAUUCGCAUUGAGUUCUUUCUUACAUAUUGGAUGACCUAUGUUUUUUAUUGUUUAAAUCAUUGCGGCUUGGAAUGCUCUUUAAGAAAAGGUAUGGUUAUGGGGGUGUCUACGCGCAAAAGUUUGACUUUAUUUUUUGUUAAAGUUAUUGCUUUUACAUUGAAUUUGUGCAGGAAAUCUUUUGGUAUGUUGUGACC